GAGCCGUAGGGAAACCGAGUCUUAACCGGGCGUUAAGUUGCAGGGUAUAGACCCGAAACCCGGUGAUCUAGCCAUGGGCAGGUUGAAGGUUGGGUAACACUAACUGGAGGACCGAACCGACUAAUGUUGAAAAAUUAGCGGAUGACCUGUGGCUGGGGGUGAAAGGCCAAUCAAACCGGGAGAUAGCUGGUUCUCCCCGAAAGCUAUUUAGGUAGCGCCUCGUGAACUCAUCUCCGGGGGUAGAGCACUGUUUCGGCUAGGGGGCCAUCCCGGCUUACCAACCCGAUGCAAACUGCGAAUACCGGAGAAUGUUAUCACGGGAGACACACGGCGGGUGCUAACGUCCGUCGUGAAGAGGGAAACAACCCAGACCGCCAGCUAAGGUCCCAAAGUCAUGGUUAAGUGGGAAACGAUGUGGGAAGGCCCAGACAGCCAGGAUGUUGGCUUAGAAGCAGCCAUCAUUUAAAGAAAGCGUAAUAGCUCACUGGUCGAGUCGGCCUGCGCGGAAGAUGUAACGGGGCUAAACCAU
Molecule: ribosomal RNA, 529 nt
Filed under: Salmonella enterica
Lineage: Bacteria; Pseudomonadati; Pseudomonadota; Gammaproteobacteria; Enterobacterales; Enterobacteriaceae
Description: partial 23S ribosomal RNA
Rfam family: Bacterial large subunit ribosomal RNA
Source: RNAcentral